This 1089-nucleotide long non-coding RNA is filed under the name Ananas comosus (pineapple). Its description in RNAcentral is "long non-coding RNA (ACOM_LNC030265)". Lineage: Eukaryota; Viridiplantae; Streptophyta; Magnoliopsida; Poales; Bromeliaceae. The record is from RNAcentral.
GAAUCUAAGAAAGUAAGAAACCAAUAUCAAAUUUUUUUGGGAAAAACUUCAAAAACCCACCAUGUGGUUUCUUAGUUUCUCACUUUGCCCCCCUGUAGUUUAAAAUGUAUCAAUUUGCCCCCCUGUGGUUUCUUUUUUCUUUUUUUCUUAUCAAUUUCAUUAUUUUUUUUCUUAAAUCAGUGAUAAAGUUAAAAUUAAAGGGUACUAAAGUGAAUAUUUGAUAAAUCUAGAUGGGUAUCUGAAGUUUUUUGUAUAUAAUUUAAUAAAAUAUUAACGAAAAAGUUAUCGAAAAGAUAAAAACGAAACCACAAGGGGGGGCAAUUUGAUACAUUUUAAACCACAGGGGGGCAAAGUGAGAAACUAUGAAACCACGGGAGGGUUUUUGAAGUUUUCCGUUUUUUUUUAAAAAAUUAUUCUUACUUUUUUUUUUCUUUUAGAUUUGAGUUUGUGAUUUUUGGGAAGGAAGCAACAAGCCAAAGAAGCCAACAAGAGGAUGGCCACCUUCUUGGCCUCCGGAGGAAAGGGGGGGAAUUAACACGGAGGUAAAAGCACCCCCUCUUUUGAGGCUUUUACUAUUAGGGUUUGGGAAGAUUUUGACUAUUAGAAUUUGGGUUAUAAAAAUGAGAGUAUUUUUUUUUUUGGCCUUUAUAUUCAGAUUUAAUGGUUUGAAUUUUUUUUAUAUAUUACAUUAUAUUAAAUUUGUUCAGGUUUGGGUCGGGUUCGGGUUCGGGUUCGGGUCGAGUUCGGAUUUUUUUUAAAAUAUUCAUAUCCAAAUCCGAAUCCAUCGGAUUUUUUGUUUUAAUAUCCAAAUCCAUAUCCGCUUACAUCGGAUAAAAUCCGUUUAGUUCGGAUUCGGAUAAAAUUCAGAUAUCCGUAUCCAUUAACAUCCCUACAUGUGACUGCAUACUAUUGCUAUCUAAUUCCAAAUAAUUUUGGACAUUAAAGUGUUAAAUAAUACGAAAUAAUUGUUAUUCUCUAAGACUUGAACUCAAGACCUUCUGUUCUGAUACCAUAUUAAACAACCGUUAUACUCUUAAAAAACAUAAGACGGUAAAAAAUGGUAUUUAAAUAUUUUUAUAGUUAACAUAA